UCGCGAAAACUUCACAAUGGAGGCAACUCCGAUGAGGGAAUUCCUAGUGCUAGUACAUUAGUAUUAGCUUUUCUUUAGUAUAGAACGCUAAAGGAAUAAGGGCUGGGUAAGACGGGUGCCAGCCGCCGCGGUAAUACCGGCUGCUCGAGUGAUGGCCACUAUUACUGGGUUUAAAGCGUCCGUAGCUUGACUGUUAGGUCCCUUGGGAAAUCUUCACGCUCAACGUGAAGGCGUCUAAG
Molecule: ribosomal RNA, 239 nt
Filed under: uncultured Methanocorpusculum sp.
Lineage: Archaea; Methanobacteriati; Methanobacteriota; Methanomicrobia; Methanomicrobiales; Methanocorpusculaceae
Description: partial 16S ribosomal RNA
Rfam family: Archaeal small subunit ribosomal RNA
Source: RNAcentral